Molecule: long non-coding RNA, 584 nt
Filed under: Arabidopsis lyrata
Lineage: Eukaryota; Viridiplantae; Streptophyta; Magnoliopsida; Brassicales; Brassicaceae
Description: long non-coding RNA (ALYR_LNC000329)
Source: RNAcentral
AGAUAAGAUGUUUAAGUUUGGUUAAGUUUGUCCUUUAAAAUAAAUAAUAAAAUAUAACAUGAAAGAAACCAUGUAUAAAUAUUGUGGACAAUAAUUAUCGUGAACAUAUAUGAUAUGGACUAAAAAAAACUUUAUAUAAGGUACAACAUAAAUUUAUCCAUCAAUUUUUAAUGGACAAUACGAAAGAUAAAAUAUCUCAUGUAGACAAUACUUUCUAAUAUUUAAUGUAACGACGCAACACCAAAGAUUAUAAUUAGACACGAUUGUGGCUUAGAAAUGACAGCGGCAACAUCGACGAGCUCCGGUGAUAACAAUAGUUUGGACGACAUUGUGAAACGAUGGCGGUGCCUCAAAUCUUAGAAUGAAAGGAGACGGAAGAAGAUGGCAAGAUCUCCAAGUACAAAGGCGGUGACGGCAGUGAUGAUGAUCUCCGACGAUGGGUAGUUCUUGGAUCUCAUCUUGAUUAUUAACCACAUAAGUGGUGAAAGAGAUAGAGAAAAGAGAGAGGAAGAAGAAAAAAUGAGAGAACAUAAGAGAGAGAAAUAGAAAAUAAAAGGAAGGAGAUAAUUUGUUUGUUUUUGUCU